This 632-nucleotide ribosomal RNA is filed under the name Escherichia coli. RNAcentral describes it as "bacterial SSU rRNA". It matches the Rfam family "Bacterial small subunit ribosomal RNA", at positions 1 to 622 of the family's 1533-position model. Lineage: Bacteria; Pseudomonadati; Pseudomonadota; Gammaproteobacteria; Enterobacterales; Enterobacteriaceae. The record is from RNAcentral.
AAAUUGAAGAGUUUGAUCAUGGCUCAGAUUGAACGCUGGCGGCAGGCCUAACACAUGCAAGUCGAACGGUAACAGGAAUCAGCUUGCUGAUUCGCUGACGAGUGGCGGACGGGUGAGUAAUGUCUGGGAAACUGCCCGAUGGAGGGGGAUAACUACUGGAAACGGUAGCUAAUACCGCAUAACGUCGCAAGACCAAAGAGGGGGACCUUCGGGCCUCUUGCCAUCGGAUGUGCCCAGAUGGGAUUAGCUAGUAGGUGGGGUAAAGGCUCACCUAGGCGACGAUCCCUAGCUGGUCUGAGAGGAUGACCAGCCACACUGGAACUGAGACACGGUCCAGACUCCUACGGGAGGCAGCAGUGGGGAAUAUUGCACAAUGGGCGCAAGCCUGAUGCAGCCAUGCCGCGUGUAUGAAGAAGGCCUUCGGGUUGUAAAGUACUUUCAGCGGGGAGGAAGGGAGUAAAGUUAAUACCUUUGCUCAUUGACGUUACCCGCAGAAGAAGCACCGGCUAACUCCGUGCCAGCAGCCGCGGUAAUACGGAGGGUGCAAGCGUUAAUCGGAAUUACUGGGCGUAAAGCGCACGCAGGCGGUUUGUUAAGUCAGAUGUGAAAUCCCCGGGCUCAACCUGGGAACU